Taeniopygia guttata (zebra finch) is the source of this 2986-nucleotide non-coding RNA. The record is from RefSeq and is a predicted model, not a curated record. Lineage: Eukaryota; Metazoa; Chordata; Aves; Passeriformes; Estrildidae.
AUAUGUUGGUUUUUCCCAUGUUUGGAGAUAUCAUGCUGUUAUCUCAUAUAAAAGUGCUUGAUUUUUGGAAGACAACCUUUAAAUUUGGCAUAAGGUACAAGGGCAACAGGAGUUAGCAGAGCUGUAUAGGCAGCAUGAAUGCACACUCAAUAGGUUUGAGUUCCUUGUUCUGUACUGGGGAUAAAGCAGCUGAGAGGAAGGGGAUAUUUAGAAGUUUGGGGCUAAAUAUAGUGAUAAAGGUAUUUACUGCAGAAAAGCUUGAUGAUUAUAAUUAUUUUAGAGGCUUAUUGUUCAGCCUGCUGAAGCUGUCUGUGGUACCUCAGAGAGUCUCAGAGAAAGCCUCCUGAAACUUCUCUCUGCACAGGCCACAUUUUGUCUCACAUCCUAUUGCCACUGCAGUUGUUCAUCUUUCUUCCUCUCAAGCACCUCUCCUAUUUCCAGAGGGCUACUGUGUUGCAGCAUUUGAGAAUGUAAAGCAGAAGCACUGUCUCUUCUAUGCUCAGAGCAAUUUCCCUUCUGGCACUCAGCUUGUUGGAGAGCAGCUGUCCUCAAGCACAGAAAUAGGAAGAGAGGGGAGGUUACUAGAGUUUGGGGAAGAGACCUCACCUCAAGCCUGUAGAGGUAAGAGAUGCAAAGGGCAGGAGCUGUGGGAAAUGCAGUAAAAAGAGCAAUGACAAAGGUGAAAAGUGGAAAGAGACAGAAGACAGAGCCUAAGUGCAGCAUGGCUUUUCUGUCAGUGUUUCUAGUUGUGGAGGUAGGUAGGGUGUGGGACAGUGGUGCACAGGGGAAGCAUGUAAUUGGUAACUUUCAUGAAACAUUCCCCAGCAGGGAAACAAAAAAUCUCCAAAUCUCAGUGCUAGUUCAUAAUUGUUUUGGCCAAGGGAUAGAAGUCCACAUGACAGAUCUAGAGGUCAACCCCUUGCUGAUAACAUUUGUAUCAAGGAAUACAGUUUUGCAUAAUGAGCUUUUCCUUGUUUUGAAUUUAAUAACUGAUCUGUAUAAGCAUUUCUAUAUCUGCUAACUAUUUAAUUUCUCCAAGUAUGGAUAAGAUAAUGUUUUUUCAAUCUUUCCUGCUUGGAUAUAGUUACAGUGAAGAUGACCUGCACAACCCUUUCUAGUCACAUGUGCACAUGACCAUAAAUAGACUUUCAUUGCACGAUCACAUGUUCUUUCUUCCACAGCUGCCUCUGUAUGUUGCAGGCAUUGGGAUGCUGUUGAUAAUUUGCUAUAGUUUGUAAAGCAGUGAGAUGUAUAUUCCUUAACUUUAGUUUCAAUGGAAUAGAAAUGGUGUGUUCCCAUAGAGAUAUCACAGAACAGUUAUGCUUGGAAGGGAUCACAGAAGGUCAUUUAGUUCAACCUUUCUGCUCAAAGAGGGUUGAAGAACAUAUUUCAAAUUUACUUCUGUAGCAAUGCCCAAUUGUUUGUUGCAUUCUAUAGAGAAAAAAACCCAUCAAAAUCAGUCAUUGCUCUCAGCGUUUUUUUCCCCUGAUUUUGUGGUGCUUAGUAUUUGCUUCUCUUGUUCAAUGCAGGAAGCUGUGUUGUGACAAGAAAGGCUUUCUGCAACUGGUACAGAUGAAAACGUAUCAGAACUGAGACAGCAGCUAAGUAAAACAUCAUGUGUUAGGCAGCAGCACCUCAGAGCAUCCAGAAAGCAUCAAAAGAGAAGCUACAUGAACUCCAAGUAGAGUCUGGUAUGGCUGUUCCUACACUGGCACUCCACUAAAUAUAGUUGGAUUGAGUAGGUGUCUGCCUUGUCACCUUAGUGGUAGAUGUGGUUUACCAAACUGUGUUCCUGUUUUCAGAGAUGUGACAAACAUUUUCAUUCCUAAGGACGAAUUAAAGCAAAAGCAAUUCACAAGAACACUGCAAGCUGCUUUCUUUGCAUUUUGGAGAGUUGCUAGCGCCUCCAUCUUUGCAUUUUGGAGGGUUUGUAUUUGCUGUGGUGACUACUGAACAGUAGCUGUAUAGCUGUUUAGUUAUAUAGCUGUACAGCUGUCCCUCCAAGCUGGCCUCUGAUAAUAAUUGGAUCCAUUAUCCUAUGGAACAGGGGCCAGUUGCCUGUUUAGCCCAGCUGGCUUUCUUUAACAUAAAACCAGGAAAAAAAGAAAGGCUGGCACAACAGAGAUUCAGGAGGAAAAUGGAAGACAGGAACAUCACUCACUCCAAGGAUUACACUUGUUUGCAAGCAAUAUGGAAUACUUUUGUUUUUUCCUUGGGACACAAUCUCUCAGAAGAAUCAGUCAGAAGGAAACUGAAAAAACUAUAAGCUUGCAGGCUGGAGAAUGCUUAAUAGCACCUAUCCUUUAGCCUUUGAUGUAUCCUGAUCCUCUUUUCUGUGUCCCUUUCAAUAUGCAUGAUUCUUCAAUCAUUACUGGCAAGCAAAGUCAUUGAAAUCACCAGCAACCUCUCUCCUGGCCAUUGCAAGAUCAUCCAUCUUGGUACUUUCAUCCAUCUCAGGGAUUUACGGUUUAUUUUAUAGUGAAGCAUUUCUGACAACUGCUAAGAGCUCUUUCCGACUAGGGAGCACUUAGCAACAAGAAAGGUAACAGCGCCUAUGUAUUUAUAUGCUUCUGUAGCAUUAUUCAUCAUCAUGAGGGAAAUCCUUGCCUGCCUUAUUAGAAAAUCUCUAGGAUGGUAGUGUGGGCUCAGAUUUGACCCACAGUCCAGGAAGAGCUCAGCCCUCAGAAACAGAAAUCCAGUACAUCCAGUUCAGUUGAAAAGCCUAGAGGAAUGUGCAGGUGAAACAGAUCUGUUUCAAGCAUGAUCCCCAGAUAAGGCUUCACAUACCCCUGAGGCUCAGUGGGAAAGUUCUGCACAACUCUUGUGCUAAAGCGCAGUCCACCGAGAUGUGUACUCUGACUUGGUUUCCAAAGAACAGCAGAGCAUCUCAGGGGAUAGGACAGGGAAGGGCAGCAGUAGACAGAACCAGAAACUGUACUCUCUAGCUCUCUGUUUUUCCUGUGCUCUGUCAAGGCCUGAAGCCAAA